RNAcentral lists this ribosomal RNA (460 nucleotides) under uncultured bacterium. RNAcentral's name for it is "partial 16S ribosomal RNA". It matches the Rfam family "Bacterial small subunit ribosomal RNA", at positions 338 to 795 of the family's 1533-position model. The record is from RNAcentral.
CCUACGGGAGGCAGCAGUGAGGAAUAUUGGUCAAUGGGCGCGAGCCUGAACCAGCCAAGUAGCGUGAAGGAUGACUGCCCUACGGGUUGUAAACUUCUUUUAUAAAGGAAUAAAGUGAGGCACGUGUGCCUUUUUGUAUGUACUUUAUGAAUAAGGAUCGGCUAACUCCGUGCCCGCAGCCGCGGUUAUACGGAGGAUCCGAGCGUUAUCCGGAUUUAGUGGGUUUAAAGGGAGCGUAGAUGGGUUGUUAAGUCAGUUGUGAAAGUUUGCGGCUCAACCGUAAAAUUGCAAUUGAUACUGGCAGCCUUGAGUACAGUUGAGGUAGGCGGAAUUCGUGGUGUAGCGGUGAAAUGCUUAGAUAUCACGAAGAACACCGAUGGCGAAGGCGGCCUACUAAACUGCCACUGACAUUGAUGCUCGAAAGUGUGGGUAUCAAACAGGAUUAGAUACCCGAGUAGUC